CCUAAUUGAAAAAUUAAAAAAAAAAAAAACAAAUGUAUCGUGUACAUUCCCAUUACCAUAUAUGCAAAUUCCAUUUUCCGUUCCAUGUCGCGGGACAUUAGAAUGGUCAUGUAGUUGACAAAUUCCAUGGGCGUCACGUGUUUCCUGCCACCUGCGAUUAGGGUUACGAUGCGAUCCACCACGUCCAUGUCAUAUAGCUGCUGGAAACCGAUCACAAUGUUCACAAACUGGCUGGAUGUUAUUCGGCGAGCAGAGGGCCCAUUCUGGAGACUAUACUUGUAGUAGAUCAUCAGGAUGCAGGUCACCUCAGAGUCGUUGAAGGGCACCAGUCGGGCGAUCUGGGGAACAAGUCCGCCAUAAACCGACUGAAACCGCUGAUUGAAACGGUCGUUCAUGGUAAGGUCCAACUUCAUCUUUGCUGGUAUUGAUACAAGAACAUGUGAAAGCAACGCAAAGAACUCAAUAUAAAGUAACAACAAUAAAUAUAAACAAUAAACUAACUGCUACUAAUUGAAGGGAAAAGCAUUAAAGAUGUGAUUAAAUAGUUUUCUCUUCUU
Molecule: non-coding RNA, 557 nt
Organism: Drosophila melanogaster (fruit fly)
Lineage: Eukaryota; Metazoa; Arthropoda; Insecta; Diptera; Drosophilidae
Source: Ensembl